GGGGAUAUGGCUCAGUUUGUAGAGUGCUUGCCUUGCAUGCAUCGAGACCCUGGGUUUGAUUCCCAGCACCACA
This 73-nucleotide transfer RNA is filed under the name Marmota monax (woodchuck). RNAcentral's name for it is "tRNA.Ala". It matches the Rfam family "tRNA". From Rfam's summary of the family: Transfer RNA (tRNA) molecules are approximately 80 nucleotides in length. Their secondary structure includes four short double-helical elements and three loops (D, anti-codon, and T loops). Further hydrogen bonds mediate the characteristic L-shaped molecular structure. tRNAs have two regions of fundamental functional importance: the anti-codon, which is responsible for specific mRNA codon recognition, and the 3' end, to which the tRNAs corresponding amino acid is attached (by aminoacyl-tRNA synthetases). tRNAs cope with the degeneracy of the genetic code in two manners: having more than one tRNA (with a specific anti-codon) for a particular amino acid; and 'wobble' base-pairing, i.e. permitting non-standard base-pairing at the 3rd anti-codon position. Lineage: Eukaryota; Metazoa; Chordata; Mammalia; Rodentia; Sciuridae. The record is from RNAcentral.